This is a long non-coding RNA of Oreochromis aureus, 1276 nucleotides long. The record is from Ensembl. Lineage: Eukaryota; Metazoa; Chordata; Actinopteri; Cichliformes; Cichlidae.
CUAAAAUCUGUGCAGUUGUAAUCAUAGGACGUCUGUGUAAAUAGAUUAAGAGACUUGUCUGAGUCUGAGAGUCAGGCUGGUAUUAUUUUUAGAUUGUGUGUGUGUGUGUGAGAAUGCAAAUAAGGCAGCUGAGAGGUCAAUAGAAUAUGAGGAAGUUAAUAGGGACUGCUAGACAUUGCUGGUGCAUGUACUUAAGACGCUGGUUUUGUUUAUUACAAUAUUGUGUCAAUACAGGUGGGCGUCUUUCAACUUUGCAACCUUGAGUUCAGCAGCAGAAAAGUAGAUUAAAAGAAUUGGGAGAAAAUAAGCCAGUCUUUGGCUCGAAAUUGUGCAGCUUGAGCUCUUACUUUGUCCUUCACCCCGAGAAGACACGCAAAAGACAGUUAAUCACCUGAUGAAGACAGAUAGAACAUCGUGGACUUGAAUACAGCAGGCAAACGACAGGGCCACUGAUCCAUUAACACUGAUGACGACUGACGACCAGCAGCAGCAUGUAAGACUAAUGCAACAUGUACUGUGAAAAUACAGGCUGGGCAGUUGAACAGUGGGAUAAAGAAUUGUGGAAGAGCACUGGACAUUGAGUGAUAUUUUGCCAUGCUGGGACUUAAUCUGAAAGAAAAGACUGUAAAGAAACAGAGAAGAAGACAGCAGCUGAGUUGAGACUGUGUUUGCUGGAGCUUUGAAGCCCGAAUAGGACAUUGUGCAGAGAGGACCAGUGAGAGAUGAAGCUGGACGAGUUUGACUGCGAGAAUAUAGGAUAUAAUUGGAUUGAAAAUUGAAGCCUGAACUCAUGAAUUGUUUAGGGAUGUCCACUACAGCAUAACAAAGAGGUAAACAUUAGAAAAGGUAAGAAUAAUGAAAGAAAUAAUUGUCAUUACCUUAAUGAAUAGAAAACACACAUACAAAUUGUUACAUGUGAGAUAUUUUUGAAAUGAAUCAGAAGUGAGAUAGUUUGAAUCUAAAGCUCAGUGGUGAAAUGCAUAAAUUAAAUAUGAAUAUAUAGGAUGCAAUGAAGAAACAGCUUACACGUAGUGUACAUUAACAUGAAUACAUCGCAAGGCAACGAAGAACUCAAUGAAUUAAUUUAAUGAAGAAGUAGUUUACACCCAAUUAACAUAAAAUGCAGGGAAGAACACGCUUACAUGCAUGGCAUAAUUGGUGUUUCUGACCAGAGACAGAGAAAUGGGUUAUUUAACCACUGGUGAUAAUAAUGAAAAUGUCUUAGUUUUGUUAUUUUCAGGAGUAAAGCAGACUUGGACCGGCUCUCCACAGCAGC